UCGUACCUAUAUUCAUUUAGGUAUAGCGCCAAUUCCUUGUUGUUGUAGUAAAUAAUUGUUCGUAAAAAUAUGAAAACACGGUUUUCUAUUUUCUCUCGCGAUUUCUGGUUAUAAAUUCCGGUUAUCAGACGACCGGAGAUCACGCGAAGAUGGAUCUAAUGCAUUUGAUACUUGUGCUACGGGUGGAAACUUUGCAGUGGCAAUGAAAUUGUUCGCAAUUUUGUUUUGAGGUUUCAGUUUCGGGUGAAAACCGGGUUUCGGUUUUCGAUUCGUAUCCGGGACCAAAUUUUUGCCAGAUACCCCGGGUUCCAAAACCGAGUUAUAUCCUGUUUUGACUCCAUGAUUUAAACAAUAUACAACGUUAGCGUCAAGUUUUAAUCUCAGAAGAUAGAACAACAUCUCAACGAGCUCUUAUGCGACAACUAAGAUCUGAACUGUCAAGAAAAAGAAAUCACGAAGGAAAAACUGGAUUAUCAAAUACAACAAAGAACAGUGACGCCCAACUUUUCUUUUGCGGUUUUUGGUAAACAAUUAUCUUCAAGCGGGCCACCAAAUAUAAAAGUAGGUACGAAUAAUAUCAUUAUUAAUUCAAUAAUAUAAUUUUGUUGCACAAAUUUGGUAUGCAAUGUACAUGUAGGUAGAUAUUGCAAUUGUUUUCAUAAUUGACUGUUGAAAAUGCCCGAAAAUAAGAUUAAUAAAUUAAUAAAAAAAAUCGCACUUUAUAAUUAUUUUAUUUCUCAAUAUUUUGCUUUAUUUUAGAAUUUGUAAUGGACCUUGUGUUGGGCACCACUACUCAAUAAAUAAGAUUAAUUAUAAUCGAUAAACUUCAAUUAAUGAUGCUCAUAUUAAUAAUUUAAAUUGUAAAAAUCCAAAACUAUUGUGUAGGUUUUAUCAAAAUGUACGUUAAGAAGUAAAUUAUCCUCUGUCGUCACGUGUUCAUGCCUAAUUUACAUCACUUCGAUUACAUUAUUUAUAGGGCUGAUUGUAACAAUAAUAAUAGUACUCACUUUUUUUAUAAAUAAUUUAAACAAUCUUUUGAAAAUUAUACCAUUUAUAACAAGCGAUAAUGCAAGCAUGCAGUGAAAAUUUCAAGUCUCUGAGAUUAUUAUUUUUUGAGUUCUGCUAAAAAUAGAAAAUUUGAUUUUGUCGAAAACCAGUAUACCUAAAGUUUUACUGUUUUAAUUACUAAUGUUAGUAAGUUUUUCGCAAUUAUUUAGAAAACUGUUGUUCCAAACAAUGCUUAUUAUUUUUUUAUGUCCUAUAGGGUACUACUCGUGCGCGCACAUAGAUUUAUAGCUAUUAAUCUGUAUGAGUAAAAUUCUCAAGUGUUUAUAAAUUUUAAUGUAAAAUAGUAAGUACAUAAUAUUAUAUAAUUACAUGAUAUAUGAACAAUAAAUUG
Long non-coding RNA from Sipha flava (yellow sugarcane aphid), 1399 nucleotides. RefSeq lists it as uncharacterized. The record is from RefSeq and is a predicted model, not a curated record. The transcript is spliced from 4 exons. NCBI's taxonomy places the organism in Eukaryota, Metazoa, Arthropoda, Insecta, Hemiptera, Aphididae.